Panicum virgatum (switchgrass) is the source of this 996-nucleotide long non-coding RNA. RefSeq lists it as uncharacterized. The record is from RefSeq and is a predicted model, not a curated record. The transcript has 3 exons. Lineage: Eukaryota; Viridiplantae; Streptophyta; Magnoliopsida; Poales; Poaceae.
GAGGGGAAACAAUUUCGAAGGUGAUGCAUUAAAUGCGAAGCAAAGUUGAAUAAUGCCCCGAACCAAUACUUUUUUACAUUAAUUGUUUAUUGUUAUGGUGAAAAGGAACUAUAAAACAUAGUUGACUAAUGCUCUGUUCUUUAGAGUUGCAGGCCUUGAAUGGUUGUCUCAUGAUCAAAACAUAUGGUGGCCUGAACCAACAAUGACUUCCUCUAUGUUCCAGCAUUGGACAAUAUAUGGUCAUGUUUAUAAUUUUUACUACUGGUGGGAAGUAUGUUCAUAAUUUUUUGAAGAGCUAGAGGAGUUGGCUUAGUUCAAGGUAUUGGCUGCACCAGCGCUCUUAAGUUCUUUUUUAAACUUGAACACAUAUUCAGAUGAAAUACUUAGAUAUCCAUACAUGUUAAAAGAAUCAUUAUUAUAUAUGUUGAUGCUUAAGGGCUAUACCGCUAGAUUGUUUACUGCAACUUGCAACUGUAUUUAUUUUUGCUAAACCAGCGUGUAGUUCCUACCUGCAUCCUACUAGCUCCAUUGACUCAUCAUUUUCCCACCUAAUUUUUAGGUAUGUUAUAUUUACUCAUUAGCAUUUGAUUACUUAAAUAAUAUACUCCUAAUAACCAUUUUGCUACUGAUAACACAUGUUUUCCCAAUGACAAAUCUUGCAGGGAUCCUGAUUUCAAGCAAGAACAUCCAAUAACUGAAUCUCAGUAGAGCAAGAAAGCAAUUAUUUGUUGCAGGGACCUAAUUUGCAGGACAUCUACGCCUAUAUUGGGAAGGUCACUCCUCUCGGACCACCACAAAUUAGGUUAUGCUAAAUUUCAAAGUAGCUUAAACUAUGUAGUUGAUAGUUAAUACUUCCUAGGCAAAAUGUAAAAUAAUAAAAUUUCCUUGUAUUAACCAUAAAUUUGGCCUGAUGUUUUUAUGUUCUCCGAUAAAUAAUAUGAAUGUAAUAAUGUUACAAGUUCCAGUAUUUAGAUUGCAACUUUAUUAUCACUUACA